This 519-nucleotide ribosomal RNA is filed under the name uncultured bacterium. RNAcentral describes it as "bacterial SSU rRNA". It matches the Rfam family "Bacterial small subunit ribosomal RNA", at positions 28 to 542 of the family's 1533-position model. The record is from RNAcentral.
GUUAAACGCUGGCGGCAUGCCUUACACAUGCAAGUCGAACGGCAGCACGGGGGCAACCCUGGUGGCGAGUGGCGAACGGGUGAGUAAAGCAUCGGAACGUGCCCUGGAGUGGGGGAUAACGUAGCGAAAGUUACGCUAAUACCGCAUAUUCUGUGAGCAGGAAAGCAGGGGAUCGCAAGACCUUGCGCUCUGGGAGCGGCCGAUGUCGGAUUAGCUAGUUGGUGGGGUAAAGGCCUACCAAGGCGACGAUCCGUAGCGGGUCUGAGAGGAUGAUCCGCCACACUGGGACUGAGACACGGCCCAGACUCCUACGGGAGGCAGCAGUGGGGAAUUUUGGACAAUGGGCGAAAGCCUGAUCCAGCCAUGCCGCGUGAGUGAAGAAGGCCUUCGGGUUGUAAAGCUCUUUCGGUGGGGAAGAAAUUGCAUGGGCUAAUACCCUGUGUAGAUGACGGUACCUGGAGAAGAAGCACCGGCUAACUACGUGCCAGCAGCCGCGGUAAUACGUAGGGUGCGAGCGUU